GUGAGGAAUAUUGGUCAAUGGGCGGGAGCCUGAACCAGCCAAGUCGCGUGAAGGAAGAAGGAUCUAUGGUUCGUAAACUUCUUUUGCAGGGGAAUAAAGUGCAGGACGUGUCCUGUUUUGUAUGUACCCUGAGAAUAAGGAUCGGCUAACUCCGUGCCAGCAGCCGCGGUAAUACGGAGGAUCCGAGCGUUAUCCGGAUUUAUUGGGUUUAAAGGGUGCGUAGGUGGUUUGAUAAGUCAGCGGUGAAAGUUUGCAGCUUAACUGUAAAAAUGCCGUUGAAACUGUCGGACUUGAGUGUAAAUGAGGUAGGCUGAAUGCGUGGUGUAGCGGUGAAAUGCAUAGAUAUCACGCAGAACUCCGAUUGCGAAGGCAGCUUACUAAGCUACAACUGACACUGAAGCACGAAAGCGUGGGGAUCAAACAGGAUUAGAUACCCUAGUAGUCC
This 445-nucleotide ribosomal RNA is filed under the name uncultured bacterium. RNAcentral describes it as "partial 16S ribosomal RNA". It matches the Rfam family "Bacterial small subunit ribosomal RNA", at positions 354 to 796 of the family's 1533-position model. The record is from RNAcentral.